UACAGAGGGUGCGAGCGUUAAUCGGAAUUACUGGGCGUAAAGCGUGCGCAGGCGGUCCGCAAAGUCUGAUGUGAAAUCCCCGGGCUUAACCUGGGAAUGGCAUUUGGGACUGCAAGGCUUGAGUGCGGCAGAGGAGACUGGAAUUCCUGGUGUAGCAGUGAAAUGCGUAGAUAUCAGGAGGAACACCGAUGGCGAAGGCAGGUCUCUGGGCUGACACUGACGCUCAUGCACGAAAGCGUGGGGAGCAAACAGG
RNAcentral lists this ribosomal RNA (253 nucleotides) under uncultured bacterium. RNAcentral describes it as "partial 16S ribosomal RNA". It matches the Rfam family "Bacterial small subunit ribosomal RNA", at positions 524 to 776 of the family's 1533-position model. The record is from RNAcentral.